Molecule: long non-coding RNA, 702 nt
Filed under: Mytilus galloprovincialis (Mediterranean mussel)
Lineage: Eukaryota; Metazoa; Mollusca; Bivalvia; Mytilida; Mytilidae
Source: RNAcentral
AUAAAAACUGGCCACCACGAAAUAGCCUAAAUGCGGUGCUUAAAAGUGGUGUUAAAACACAUCAAAAUCAAAUCAUGACAUAAAUCUGGAUGUAUUGCUUGACAUGACAAAUUGACGGUACUGCCUGACAUGACACAAAGAAUAAGGUGUAUUGCUUGACAUGACACAUCAAAACAAGUUGUUCCACAAAUAAGCAGCUGCAAGCAUCAAUAUUUAUAAAGAAAUGAGAGAUGUUUUAAACUUUAAUUCAAACCAAAAAGUAGUCUUAAAAAUAUAAAGCAAAAUUUGGGUGUGCUGUUUCUGGCAGCAGAUUCAUCAAUGUUUGUGAUUAAAUCAAUUUAUGGGGAACCACCAGUUGUAGGUCAAUGAUAAUUGGUAUGCAUUUGUAUAAGCAUUGGCACAUCACAUUUCUAAGGAGAGCAUCUGGCUAUGCCCCCAUCAUUUUUGGCAGAUUUUUAUAAAACUUGUUUCAUAGGUUUAUAUUAGAAAUGUCUUAAAUGCGUUUGAAAAUCGGUGCUGUUCAAUUUGUAUGCCCUACCUUUAAGUUUUACCCCUGUAUGUCCCAUUGUUGGUUUCCGUUCUCUUACUUUUUGCCUCGACCAAAUGUUGUGAACUUGUACGCAAUGCUUAUUAAUACAAAACUGGGAUACAGUUUGAAUUUUUGUGGUGUCUAUUUUAAAAACUGCCCUAGAAUUAUGCCCC